Molecule: ribosomal RNA, 398 nt
Filed under: uncultured bacterium
Lineage: Bacteria
Description: bacterial SSU rRNA
Rfam family: Bacterial small subunit ribosomal RNA
Source: RNAcentral
GACGAACGCUGGCGGCGUGCUUAACACAUGCAAGUCGAACGGUGAACCAGAGCUUGCUCUGGGGAUCAGUGGCGAACGGGUGAGUAACACGUGGGCAACCUGCCCCAGACUCUGGGAUAACCUCGGGAAACCGAUGCUAAUACCGGAUACGACCACUUCGGACAUCCGACGGUGGUGGAAAGUUUUUCGGUCUGGGAUGGGCCCGCGGCCUAUCAGCUAGUUGUGGGGUAAUGGCCUACCAAGGCGACGACGGGUAGCCGGCCUGAGAGGGCGACCGGCCACACUGGAACUGAGACACGGUCCAGACUCCUACGGGAGGCAGCAGUGGGGAAUAUUGCACAAUGGGCGAAAGCCUGAUGCAGCGACGCCGCGUGAGGGACGACGGGCCUUCGGGUUGU